RNAcentral lists this ribosomal RNA (1325 nucleotides) under Acinetobacter tjernbergiae. Its description in RNAcentral is "16S ribosomal RNA". It matches the Rfam family "Bacterial small subunit ribosomal RNA", at positions 87 to 1429 of the family's 1533-position model. The record is from RNAcentral. Lineage: Bacteria; Pseudomonadati; Pseudomonadota; Gammaproteobacteria; Moraxellales; Moraxellaceae.
GUCUUCCAGCGGCGGACGGGUGAGUAAUGCUUAGGAAUCUGCCAUUUAGUGGGGGACAACAUUUCGAAAGGGAUGCUAAUACCGCAUACGUCCUACGGGAGAAAGCAGGGGAUCUUCGGACCUUGCGCUAAAUGAUGAGCCUAGUCGGAUUAGCUAGUUGGUGGGGUAAAGGCCUACCAAGGCGACGAUCUGUAGCGGGUCUGAGAGAAUGAUCCCCCACACUGGGACUGAGACACGGCCAGACUCCUACGGAAGGCAGCAGUGGGGAAUAUGGACAAUGGGCGAAAGCCUGAUCCAGCCAUGCCGCGUGUGUGAAGAAGGCCUUUUGGUUGUAAAGCACUUUAAGCGAGGAGGAGGCUACUUGAUUAAUACUUAGGUAUGGACGUUACUCGCAGAAUAAGCACCGGCUAACUCUGUGCCAGCAGCCGCGGUAAUACAGAGGGUGCGAGCGUUAAUCGGAUUUACUGGGCGUAAAGCGUGCGUAGGCGGCUGAUUAAGUCGGAUGUGAAAUCCCUGAGCUUAACUUAGGAAUUGCAUUCGAUACUGGUCAGCUAGAGUAUGGGAGAGGAUGGUAGAAUUCCAGUGUAGCGGUGAAAUGCGUAGAGAUCUGGAGGAAUACCGAUGGCGAAGGCAGCCAUCUGGCCUAAUACUGACGCUGAGGUACGAAAGCAUGGGGGAAACAGGAUUAGAUACCCUGGUAGUCCAUGCCGUAAACGAUGUCUACUAGCCGUUGGGGCCUUUGAGGCUUUAGUGGCGCAGCUAACGCGAUAAGUAGACCGCCUGGGGAGUACGGCGCAAGACUAAAACUCAAAUGAAUUGACGGGGGCCCGCACAACCGUGGAACAUGUGGUUUAAUUCGAUGCAACGCGNAANCCUUACCUGCCCUUAACAUAGUAAGAACUUUCCAAAAAUGGAUUGGUGCCUUCGGGAACUUACAUCAGGUGUGCAUGGCUUCCGUCAGCUCGUGUCGUAAAUGUGGGUUAAGUCCNGCAGAGCGCAACCCUUUUNCUUAUUNGCAAGCGAUAAUGUCCGUAACUUUAAAGAUACUGCCAGUGACAAACUGAAGAAAGCGGGGACGACGUCAAGUCAUCAUGGCCCUUACGGCAGGGCUACACACGUGCUACAAUGGUCGGUACAAAGGGUUGCUACCUAGCGAUAGGAUGCUAAUCUCAAAAAGCCGAUCGUAGUCCGGAUUGGAGUCUGCAACUCGACUCCAUGAAGUCGGAAUCGCUAGUAAUCGCGGAUCAGAAUGCCGCGGUGAAUACGUUCCCGGGCCUUGUACACACCGCCCGUCACACCAUGGGAGUUUGUUGCACCAGAAGUAG